AUUGAACGCUGGCGGCAUGCUUUACACAUGCAAGCCGAACGGUAACAGGCCGCAAGGUGCUGACGAGUGGCGAACGGGUGAGUAAUGCAUCGGAACGUGCCCAGUCGUGGGGGAUAACGCAGCGAAAGCUGUGCUAAUACCGCAUACGAUCUAUGGAUGAAAGCAGGGGACCGUAAGGCCUCGCGCGAUUGGAGCGGCCGAUGUCAGAUUAGGUAGUUGGUGGGGUAAAGGCCUACCAAGCCGACGAUCUGUAGCUGGUCUGAGAGGACGACCAGCCACACUGGGACUGAGACACGGCCCAGACUCCUACGGGAGGCAGCAGUGGGGAAUUUUGGACAAUGGGCGCAAGCCUGAUCCAGCAAUGCCGCGUGCAGGAAGAAGGCCUUCGGGUUGUAAACUGCUUUUGUACGGAACGAAACGGUCUGGGUUAAUACCCUGGGCUAAUGACGGUACCGUAAGAAUAAGCACCGGCUAACUACGUGCCAGCCGCCGCCGUAA
RNAcentral lists this ribosomal RNA (498 nucleotides) under uncultured bacterium. RNAcentral's name for it is "partial 16S ribosomal RNA". It matches the Rfam family "Bacterial small subunit ribosomal RNA", at positions 30 to 523 of the family's 1533-position model. The record is from RNAcentral.